Molecule: transfer RNA, 71 nt
Filed under: Ips nitidus
Lineage: Eukaryota; Metazoa; Arthropoda; Insecta; Coleoptera; Curculionidae
Description: tRNA-Tyr
Rfam family: tRNA
About the family: Transfer RNA (tRNA) molecules are approximately 80 nucleotides in length.
Source: RNAcentral
GAUGGAAUGGCUGAAGUUUAGGCAGUAAAUUGUAAAUUUAUUUAUGAAAAUAGAUGUGUUUUCUUUCAUCA